Molecule: ribosomal RNA, 562 nt
Filed under: uncultured bacterium
Lineage: Bacteria
Description: bacterial SSU rRNA
Rfam family: Bacterial small subunit ribosomal RNA
Source: RNAcentral
CCUACGGGAGGCAGCAGUGGGGAAUAUUGGACAAUGGACCAAAAGUCUGAUCCAGCAAUUCUGUGUGCACGAUGAAGGUCUUCGGAUCGUAAAGUGCUUUCAGGUGGGAAGAAAAAAAUGACGGUACCACCAGAAGAAGCGACGGCUAAAUACGUGCCAGCAGCCGCGGUAAUACGUAUGUCGCAAGCGUUAUCCGGAAUUAUUGGGCGUAAAGCGCGUCUAGGCGGCCUUUUAAGUCUGAUGUGAAAAUGCGGGGCUCAACUCCGUAUUGCGUUGGAAACUGGAAGGCUAGAGUAUCAGAGAGGUGGGCGGAACUACAAGUGUAGAGGUGAAAUUCGUAGAUAUUUGUAGGAAUGCCGAUUGGGAAGCCAGCUCACUGGAUGAAUACUGACGCUGAAGCGCGAAAGCGUGGGGAGCAAACGGGAUUAGAUACCCCGGUAGUCCACGCCGUAAACGAUGAUCACUAAGUGUGGGGGGUCGAACCUCCGUGCUCAAGCUAACGCGAUAAGUGAUCCGCCUGGGGAGUACGCACGCAAGUGUGAAACUCAAAGGAAUUGACGGA